GGUAUACGUAGUUCUAUGAGGAGUCUCUCGAGAAUUCUCAUAGGAAUACCAAGCCAGGGCACGUGCAACAGAAAGCAUACCGCCGAUGGCCCGCCGAUGAGGCGGGCACAGGCAAGGUUGAAAUCGUGGGGUAAAAGCCCACGCGUUCGCGCGGUGACGCGCGAAAAGAGGUAAACCCUACCCGGUGAAAGGGCGCAUAAAUGGUAGCCCGUUAGAACGCGCAGGCAACUGCGCGUCCAGAUAGAUGAUUGCCGCCGGUUUUGCUACGGCAGAACCGGAACAAAAUUCGGCUUAUCGGUUUUCCUGUCCA
Molecule: RNase P RNA, 310 nt
Filed under: Parcubacteria group bacterium
Lineage: Bacteria
Description: partial RNase P RNA component class A
Rfam family: Bacterial RNase P class A
About the family: Ribonuclease P (RNase P) is a ubiquitous endoribonuclease, found in archaea, bacteria and eukarya as well as chloroplasts and mitochondria. Its best characterised activity is the generation of mature 5'-ends of tRNAs by cleaving the 5'-leader elements of precursor-tRNAs. Cellular RNase Ps are ribonucleoproteins.
Source: RNAcentral